Molecule: long non-coding RNA, 575 nt
Organism: Lathyrus oleraceus (garden pea)
Lineage: Eukaryota; Viridiplantae; Streptophyta; Magnoliopsida; Fabales; Fabaceae
Exons: 3
Source: RefSeq, a predicted model, not a curated record
AUCUCACUCUUCCUCUUCUUCAAACUUCUCUAUUCCUCUUCUUUCUUCAUGUUCUUAUACUAUUAUGAUUCUUUCUUCUAUCAUGGUUUACAAAAAUGCUUUAUGACGUGCGAUGUGCGAUUUAAUGGUGGUGGUAGAUCUGUGAUGGAGACAAUGCGUUUCCGGCGGCGAUGGUGGUAGUGGUCAGAUUCGAAAUGGUUGAUGUGUUCUACCAACGUUGUUGCUUCAAGCUUAUCUCUUCUCUUCUGAAUGUUGUCGCUUCUUUUUGUUUCGGAAAUGAAGACAAAUUUGCAUAUUUGUUUCCUCUUAUUUCAAAUUGCAAUAUUUAUUUGCGGCGAGAUUGUUUUCGGCAAGAAACAGUUUGAAGGAGUUCUUACUCAACUCGAUCCUAUAUAAGAUCUUUGCGGAAUAGUGAAUCCAAGGCUUGGGAAUAACUACCAUGUAGAUUCGGUUCACGAGGUUAAAACAUUUGUUCAUAACACUUUUGUGUUAAUGAUUCUAGAAUUUGGAUUGGUGUUUCCUGAUGUAUUCAUAGUGACACAAACAAAGAACAUAAUAGACAAACUAUUUAAUUU